CCUACGGGAGGCUGCAGUGAGGAAUAUUGGUCAAUGGGCGAGAUCCUGAACCAGCCAAGCCGCGUGAGGGAAGACGGCCCUAUGGGUUGUAAACCUCUUUUGUCGGAGAACAAAACCCGGGACGUGUCCCGGACUGCGUGUAUCCGAAGAAAAAGCAUCGGCUAACUCCGUGCCAGCAGCCGCGGUAAUACGGAGGAUGCGAGCGUUAUCCGGAUUUAUUGGGUUUAAAGGGUGCGUAGGCGGUCCGUUAAGUCAGCGGGAAAAUUGCGGGGCUCAACCCCGUCGAGCCGUUGAAACUGGCAGACUUGAGUUGGCGAGAAGUACGCGGAAUGCGCGGUGUAGCGGUGAAAUGCAUAGAUAUCGCGCAGAACUCCGAUUGCGAAGGCAGCGUACCGGAGCCAGACUGACGCUGAGGCACGAAAGCGUGGGGAUCGAACAGGAUUAGAUACCCUAGUAGUC
RNAcentral lists this ribosomal RNA (459 nucleotides) under uncultured bacterium. Its description in RNAcentral is "partial 16S ribosomal RNA". It matches the Rfam family "Bacterial small subunit ribosomal RNA", at positions 338 to 795 of the family's 1533-position model. The record is from RNAcentral.